UGAAGUUAAGUUGCUAUUAGCUUAAACUUGAUAGAACUGUAAGAUGUAUUAUGAAAGCCUCAUGGUAAUCACAAAGCAAAAGCUAUAAUAGAUACACAUAUAAUAAAGAGAAAAGAAUCAAAGCAUCCCACUAUGGAAAAUCAUCAAUUGACAACUAAAGACAGCAAGAGAGGCAGCUUUUUAGUUUGAUGUAUCCUCACUAUUUAUUUUAGCUUUUGUUGCCUGUGUUUUUGGUGUCAUCCAAAAAAACAAAAAAUCAUCACCAAGACAAAUGUUACAGAGCUUUUUCACCAUGUUGUCUUCUAGGAGUUUUAUGGUAUCAGGUAUUACAUUUAAGUCUUUAAUCCAUUCAACUUCAUUUUUGUGAGUGGAAUAAGAUAGGAGUCUGAUUUCAUUUUUUGCAUAUGUAUAUAAGGUUAUCUCAACAACAUUUAUUGCAGAGACUCUUCUUUCCCUUUGGCAUCCUUGUCAAAGGUUAGUUGACAGGAUGUGCAUGGUCUUAUUUCUGGGCUCUUUGUUCUGUUCCAUUGGUCUAUGUACCUGUUUUUAUGCCAGUACCAUACUGUUUUGUGUGUAGGUUUGUAAUAUAUUUUGAAAUCAGGAAGUAUGAUGCCUCCAGCUUUGUUCUUCUUUCUUAAGUUUGCUUUGGCUGUUCAGGGUCUUUUGGUGUUCCAUACAAAUUUUAGAACUGUUUUUUUAUUUCUAUGAAAGAUGCCAUUGGAAUUUUGAUAUGAACUGUGCUGAAUCUGUGGAUCACUUUGGGUAUUGUGGAAAUUUUAACAAUAUUAAUUCUUUCAAUUCAAGAGCACAGGGUAUCUUUCCAUUUGUUUUUGCCUUCAAUUUCUUUCAUCAGUGACAUAAUUUUCAGUGUACAGGUCUUUCCUCUCCUUGGUUAAAUUUAUCCUUCAGUAUUUUAUUGUUUUUAGUGCUAUUGUAAAUGAGAUUGCUUUCUUAAAUUAUCUUUCAGGUAGUUCAUUAGUUUAUAGAAAUGCAAGUGAUCUUUUUUUUAAAAUAACUGUUGGUACUUAAUGAGAAUUUUUUUCCUGGGAAAGAU
Molecule: long non-coding RNA, 1054 nt
Filed under: Equus caballus (horse)
Lineage: Eukaryota; Metazoa; Chordata; Mammalia; Perissodactyla; Equidae
Description: lncRNA (ENSECAG00000049515.1)
Source: RNAcentral